UACGUAGGUGGCAAGCGUUGUCCGGAAUUAUUGGGCGUAAAGCGCGCGCAGGCGGUCCUUUUAAGUCUGAUGUGAAAGCCCACGGCUCAACCGUGGAGGGUCAUUGGAAACUGGGGGACUGAGUGCAGGAGAGAAGAGUGGAAUUCCACGUGUAGCGGUGGAAUGCGUAGAGAUCCGGAAGAACACCGGUGGCGAAGGCGGUCUGCUGGGCAGUUGCUGACGCUGAUGCGCGACAGCGUGGGGAGCAAACAGG
This 253-nucleotide ribosomal RNA is filed under the name uncultured bacterium. RNAcentral's name for it is "partial 16S ribosomal RNA". It matches the Rfam family "Bacterial small subunit ribosomal RNA", at positions 524 to 776 of the family's 1533-position model. The record is from RNAcentral.